Hippocampus comes (tiger tail seahorse) is the source of this 412-nucleotide long non-coding RNA. RefSeq lists it as uncharacterized. The record is from RefSeq and is a predicted model, not a curated record. NCBI's taxonomy places the organism in Eukaryota, Metazoa, Chordata, Actinopteri, Syngnathiformes, Syngnathidae. The transcript has 3 exons.
UACAGAUAGUCCAUAGAGGCAAUUCGCAGGAGUGCUACCACCACUCAAAAAACGAAAACGGGGGGCGUGGGGAAGUCACUCAAGGGUGAUAUUCUCGAUCCAGCUACACCACGUUUCUCAUUCUCGUUAGCCCUGGUCACAUGACCGCGGCCGCAGCUCUUCAGGGAAGGAGGACGUCAUGACUCAAGCCUCAACCCUACAUAUCCAAAAGACAGUUCAUCAGAACUUCCCCCCCCACUUGAGCAGCAGUUGUCGGGAUGUAAUAAUUAACUCAGCCGGAGCUGAGAGAACAACCAAUGAGGACGCAGGAAGUGUCACAGUACAAACAAAGCCUUUUUUUUUUCCCGCAAUAUAGCUUCAGUGAGCUUCUUGACCACCACACUUCCUGCUAGCAAGUGUGACACACCGCGGC